UCAUAUUUGAUCUCUGGCUGUGUAGGAAUACCCGCUGAAUUUAAGCAUAUUAAUAAGCGGAGGAAAAGAAACUAACAAGGAUUCUCUUAGUAAGGGCGACUGAAGCGAGAAUAGCUCAAGAUGUUAAUUGAUGUGUCACGCAUCGAAUUGUGGUCUUUUGAUAUUUGUGUUAAAGUGUGGAUGAAGUCUUCUGGAAAGGAGCGGCAAAGAGGGUGACACCCCCGUGAAUCUACGCUGUAUAACUUUUAUCAUUGAGUCGAGUUGCUUGGGAUUGCAGCUCUAAGUGGGUGGUAAAUUCCAUCUAAAGCUAAAUAUGGUUGGGAAACCGAUAGUAAACAAGUACCGUGAGGGAAAGAUGCAAAGAACUUUGAAAAGAGAGUUAAAGAGUACCUGAAAUUGCUGA
RNAcentral lists this ribosomal RNA (403 nucleotides) under uncultured diatom. Its description in RNAcentral is "eukaryotic LSU rRNA". It matches the Rfam family "Eukaryotic large subunit ribosomal RNA", at positions 1 to 411 of the family's 3401-position model. Lineage: Eukaryota; Bacillariophyta. The record is from RNAcentral.